AUUACAUUCCUCACAAUUAUGUGCUUCCAACCUUCCUGUUUCAUGGCAAUGCUCAGUGUGCAAAGAAAUGUCCUUAAAUGGAAUGGUGUGAGCAAGUCAGUGUUGAAGAACCUGACUGUUUUUUCAGAGCCUUCACCUCAACAACUUCAAACAUCUUUGUGAUGACAUGUAAUGUUGCCUGCAAGCCAGGAUUAAUCACCCAACGUCAGUGCACAAUGGAAG
This is a non-coding RNA of Pelobates cultripes (western spadefoot toad), 222 nucleotides long. The record is from the annotation of a GenBank genome assembly. NCBI's taxonomy places the organism in Eukaryota, Metazoa, Chordata, Amphibia, Anura, Pelobatidae.